UUGUAGCCUGCUAUGGUAUAACUUAGUGGCAGACGGGUGAGUAAUGUAUAGGAAUCUACCUAGUAGUACGGAAUAAUUGUUGGAAACGGCAACUAAUACCGUAUACGCCCUACGGGGGAAAAAUUUAUUGCUAUUAGAUGAGCCUAUAUUAGAUUAGCUAGUUGGUGGAGUAAUAGCCUACCAAGGCAAUGAUCUAUAGCUGAUCUGAGAGGAUGAUCAGCCACACUGGAACUGAGAUACGGUCCAGACUCCUACGGGAGGCAGCAGUGGGGAAUAUUGGACAAUGGGCGAAAGCCUGAUCCAGCCAUGCCGCAUGAGUGAAGAAGGCCUUUGGGUUGUAAAGCUCUUUUAGUGAGGAAGAUAAUGACGGUACUCACAGAAGAAGUCCUGGCUAACUCCGUGCCAGCAGCCGCGGUAAUACGGAGAGGGCUAGCGUUAUUCGGAAUUAUUGGGCGUAAAGGGCGCGUAGGCUGGUUAAUAAGUUAAAAGUGAAAUCCCGAGGCUUAACCUUGGAAUUGCUUUUAAAACUAUUAAUCUAGAGAUUGAAAGAGGAUAGAGGAAUUCCUGAUGUAGAGGUAAAAUUCGUAAAUAUUAGGAGGAACACCAGUGGCGAAGGCGUCUAUCUGGUUCAAAUCUGACGCUGAAGCGCGAAGGCGUGGGGAGCAAACAGGAUUAGAUACCCUGGUAGUCCACGCUGUAAACGAUGAAUGUUAAAUAUGGGAAGUUUACUUUCUGUAUUACAGCUAACGCGUUAAACAUUCCGCCUGGGGACUACGGUCGCAAGAUUAAAACUCAAAGGAAUUGACGGGGACCCGCACAAGCGGUGGAGCAUGUGGUUUAAUUCGAUGCAACGCGAAAAACCUUACCACUUCUUGACAUGAAAAUCAUACCUAUUC
RNAcentral lists this ribosomal RNA (896 nucleotides) under Wolbachia endosymbiont of Aedes albopictus. Its description in RNAcentral is "bacterial SSU rRNA". It matches the Rfam family "Bacterial small subunit ribosomal RNA", at positions 73 to 1002 of the family's 1533-position model. Lineage: Bacteria; Pseudomonadati; Pseudomonadota; Alphaproteobacteria; Rickettsiales; Anaplasmataceae. RNAcentral also lists the same sequence under 1 other name. The record is from RNAcentral.